AAGAGACAGCAGUAGCCGCGGGAAUACAGAGGGUGCGAGCGUUAAUCGGAUUUACUGGGCGUAAAGCGUGCGUAGGCGGCUAAUUGAGUCGGAUGUGAAAUCCCCGAGCUUAACUUGGGAAUUGCAUUCGAUACUGGUUAGCUAGAGUGUGGGAGAGGAUGGUAGAAUUCCAGGUGUAGCGGUGAAAUGCGUAGAGAUCUGGAGGAAUACCGAUGGCGAAGGCAGCCAUCUGGCCUAACACUGACGCUGAGGUACGAAAGCAUGGGGAGCAAACAGGAUUAGAUACCCCUGUAGUCCCUGUCUCUUAUAC
This 310-nucleotide ribosomal RNA is filed under the name uncultured bacterium. Its description in RNAcentral is "partial 16S ribosomal RNA". It matches the Rfam family "Bacterial small subunit ribosomal RNA", at positions 503 to 807 of the family's 1533-position model. The record is from RNAcentral.